This is a long non-coding RNA of Juglans regia (Persian walnut), 1218 nucleotides long. RefSeq lists it as uncharacterized. The record is from RefSeq and is a predicted model, not a curated record. The transcript has 3 exons. Lineage: Eukaryota; Viridiplantae; Streptophyta; Magnoliopsida; Fagales; Juglandaceae.
UGUCGAAAUGAUCUAUUACAGGCGUCUCAACAUGCAAUUUUUCUUUUUGCUACGAUCCCACAAAUAUGGAAGAACUUUUCUUGUGAGUUGCUCCAAAAUAGUUGCAGUAAAAAAAAGGAAGUUUCUGAAACGAGAUGCAGGUGAGAAAGGAAGCUGAAACGAGAUGCAGGGGUUGGGAAAUUGAAAAGACGCUGAACAGGACUGAACGGGAUGGAUGACACGGUAGUCUGCAGCAAGUUUCUAAAAAAAAAACAAAUAAAAAAAAUUAAAAAUUCUGACGUGGCAUGAGCCACUUCACUUUGUGGGAUCCAUGUGAGGUCGUAGCGGCCCUCUAUAUUCUACACAACCUCCCCUAUUGUAGCACAACCUCCGCACGCCUGACGUGGCGAACCGGUUUGGUCGACCACAUCACGGUUGGCUUUCUCACCCUCCCUCACUCGACGAGACUUUCUCCCCCUCCUCAGUUCCCUUUAUCCCUCCUCACAUCCCUUUCUUCCCCUCCCGAAAGCCCAGUGAACACCACCUCACGCCAAGAUCCCCCAGCCCCGCUAUUCUCUCAGCCCUGAAAGGCUACAAGAAAAAAUUCUCUUCUUCCUCACCCAAACAUUCUCUCACCCAUGAAACCCUGGAAAAAAUUCGACCCUUCACACAUAGAAUCUCUUCUAAUCUCUCUCUCCUUCUCUCGUGGAUCACUGGUUGAGUGAUUUUACAGAGUCCUCUCACAAAACCCUGACAAAAAACGGUGUUUCUUCACAAAACCCUCACACAAAGUACCUACCGCUUUUGACUUUAAAUCGGCAUUUCUUUCCUCCGACGGGGGCACUAUCUAGCAUUGUUAGAGCACUUUGGAGGAAUCAAAGAUUUAUCUGGAUAAGACAUAAGGAUAAUGUCCAUAUGGAGCUGUUAUUUGGACUACAGAAAAAUGAUGGAUAUCCAAAAAUGGGAUUGGACAGCACUUUGGACACUUGCAGGACUGAAGAUUUAUGGAAAUAGUUGCAGCCAAAUAAUGGCUUUAGCCGCUGGUUUUGUCUUUGUUGUUGUAUUUGUUUACACUCAAGUUAGAGAAGUACAAUACAUUAUUGUUGUUUUAUUUUAAAAAUUGAACUAGUGUAUUUCCUUUCAUAGUUGUAUGUUGAGUUGUAAGUGUUGUAUAUUAUUUAUAUGCAAUGGAAUGAGGUGCUGCUUGGACAGCCCAAACUAUAUUUUGUUACAGUUAAA